Molecule: ribosomal RNA, 1398 nt
Filed under: Staphylococcus aureus
Lineage: Bacteria; Bacillati; Bacillota; Bacilli; Caryophanales; Staphylococcaceae
Description: bacterial LSU rRNA
Rfam family: Bacterial large subunit ribosomal RNA
Source: RNAcentral
CUGAGUAUUAGGCAAAUCCGGUACUCGUUAAGGCUGAGCUGUGAUGGGGAGAAGACAUUGUGUCUUCGAGUCGUUGAUUUCACACUGCCGAGAAAAGCCUCUAGAUAGAAAAUAGGUGCCCGUACCGCAAACCGACACAGGUAGUCAAGAUGAGAAUUCUAAGGUGAGCGAGCGAACUCUCGUUAAGGAACUCGGCAAAAUGACCCCGUAACUUCGGGAGAAGGGGUGCUCUUUAGGGUUAACGCCCAGAAGAGCCGCAGUGAAUAGGCCCAAGCGACUGUUUAUCAAAAACACAGGUCUCUGCUAAACCGUAAGGUGAUGUAUAGGGGCUGACGCCUGCCCGGUGCUGGAAGGUUAAGAGGAGUGGUUAGCUUCUGCGAAGCUACGAAUCGAAGCCCCAGUAAACGGCGGCCGUAACUAUAACGGUCCUAAGGUAGCGAAAUUCCUUGUCGGGUAAGUUCCGACCCGCACGAAAGGCGUAACGAUUUGGGCACUGUCUCAACGAGAGACUCGGUGAAAUCAUAGUACCUGUGAAGAUGCAGGUUACCCGCGACAGGACGGAAAGACCCCGUGGAGCUUUACUGUAGCCUGAUAUUGAAAUUCGGCACAGCUUGUACAGGAUAGGUAGGAGCCUUUGAAACGUGAGCGCUAGCUUACGUGGAGGCGCUGGUGGGAUACUACCCUAGCUGUGUUGGCUUUCUAACCCGCACCACUUAUCGUGGUGGGAGACAGUGUCAGGCGGGCAGUUUGACUGGGGCGGUCGCCUCCUAAAAGGUAACGGAGGCGCUCAAAGGUUCCCUCAGAAUGGUUGGAAAUCAUUCAUAGAGUGUAAAGGCAUAAGGGAGCUUGACUGCGAGACCUACAAGUCGAGCAGGGUCGAAAGACGGACUUAGUGAUCCGGUGGUUCCGCAUGGAAGGGCCAUCGCUCAACGGAUAAAAGCUACCCCGGGGAUAACAGGCUUAUCUCCCCCAAGAGUUCACAUCGACGGGGAGGUUUGGCACCUCGAUGUCGGCUCAUCGCAUCCUGGGGCUGUAGUCGGUCCCAAGGGUUGGGCUGUUCGCCCAUUAAAGCGGUACGCGAGCUGGGUUCAGAACGUCGUGAGACAGUUCGGUCCCUAUCCGUCGUGGGCGUAGGAAAUUUGAGAGGAGCUGUCCUUAGUACGAGAGGACCGGGAUGGACAUACCUCUGGUGUACCAGUUGUCGUGCCAACGGCAUAGCUGGGUAGCUAUGUGUGGACGGGAUAAGUGCUGAAAGCAUCUAAGCAUGAAGCCCCCCUCAAGAUGAGAUUUCCCAACUUCGGUUAUAAGAUCCCUCAAAGAUGAUGAGGUUAAUAGGUUCGAGGUGGAAGCAUGGUGACAUGUGGAGCUGACGAAUACUAAUCGAUCGAAGACUUAAUC